This 461-nucleotide ribosomal RNA is filed under the name uncultured beta proteobacterium. RNAcentral's name for it is "bacterial SSU rRNA". It matches the Rfam family "Bacterial small subunit ribosomal RNA", at positions 200 to 642 of the family's 1533-position model. The record is from RNAcentral. Lineage: Bacteria; Pseudomonadati; Pseudomonadota; Betaproteobacteria.
AGAAAAGCAGGGGAUCGCAAGACCUUGCGCUUUUGGAGCGGCCGAUGUCUGAUUAGCUAGUUGGUGAGGUAAAGGCUUACCAAGGCUUCGAUCAGUAGCUGGUCUGAGAGGACGACCAGCCACACUGGGACUGAGACACGGCCCAGACUCCUACGGGAGGCAGCAGUGGGGAAUUUUGGACAAUGGGGGAAACCCUGAUCCAGCCAUGCCGCGUGAGUGAAGAAGGCCUUCGGGUUGUAAAGCUCUUUCAGCCGGAACGAAAAGGUUACGGUUAAUACCCGUGACUAAUGACGGUACCGGAAGAGGAAGCACCGGCUAACUACGUGCCAGCAGCCGCGGUAAUACGUAGGGUGCGAGCGUUAAUCGGAAUUACUGGGCGUAAAGCGUGCGCAGGCGGUUUUGUAAGUCAGAUGUGAAAUCCCCGGGCUCAACCUGGGAACUGCGUUUGAAACUACAAAGCU